UGCUGGCAUCAAGUAAGCCGACUACCUCGGCAAAGGCUUAGGGACAAGAGACCAGCAGCCUGAACUGGCUGGGGCAUCCGGAAGGCUUAGAUCUUGUGGCCAAGAGUUCAGACCGUGGCGAAGUGGAGAGUGACAUGCAGUUGGAUGGCGGUGACUGCGUGGUCCUGCAACCCUGGUUCCAGUCUGGCAAGCAUUGUAGACCUGGCUGCUGAAGACUGACGGGGCCCAGGGUCCGCUGCCCCCACCGCCAUCACCACCUCGGAACCCAGGGUAACGCUGUCAGUCUUUGGCUGAAUUGUUUUAUCCAGGCAAGCAUGCAAAAACACAUUGAUAAUAUAUUUCACCUUUGCCACGUCUAAUACCAGAGCCUACGAGGAAACCAUUCGGAAGCUCCAGAACCCAGGCCCUAAUCACAACGCCCCUAUCCAGCAGGAAGCAGCCAGAUGAUCAACGACGCCCUUUUUCCUUUUUAUACUAAAGUAAGAAAUAAGAAUGUUAGCCCAAACUGCACUAUUUUGCAGACCCCUACCAUUUUACAAACUGGUCAGAGUGGAAAAUUCCACCAGGGCCUGAGCUGUGAGAAACAUCCUGUCAGGCAGGUCCCAGGCCUAACCCCUGGCUGCACUAAAUUCCUUCAUUAUCAGCAGCCAAACACACCGCCCCCACCCCAUUUUCACAACAAUCCCAGACCUCUCCUGCCCGGGACUGUAACUGGUCCAGCCUGUAAGCGGGAAGGGGGCUCUGGCACUAGCUGGUACCCCCUCUCCGCAGGUCUUUCUCCCAAUAAAUCUGUGUUGCCAUU
This 802-nucleotide long non-coding RNA is filed under the name Homo sapiens (human). Its description in RNAcentral is "HSALNT0407725". Lineage: Eukaryota; Metazoa; Chordata; Mammalia; Primates; Hominidae. The record is from RNAcentral.